GUCGAACGGUAGAGGGGGCAACCCCUUGAGAGUGGCGAACGGGUGAGUAAUAUAUCGGAACGUGCCCAGUCGUGGGGGAUAACGUAGUGAAAAUUACGCUAAUACCGCAUACGAUCUAAGGAUGAAAGCGGGGGAUCGCAAGACCUCGCGCGACUGGAGCGGCCGAUAUCAGAUUAGGUAGUUGGUAGGGUAAAGGCCUACCAAGCCAACGAUCUGUAGCUGGUCUGAGAGGACGACCAGCCACACUGGAACUGAGACACGGUCCAGACUCCUACGGGAGGCAGCAGUGGGGAAUUUUGGACAAUGGGCGAAAGCCUGAUCCAGCCAUUCCGCGUGCAGGAUGAAGGCCCUCGGGUUGUAAACUGCUUUUGUACAGAACGAAAAGGUUUCUACUAAUACUAGGAGCUCAUGACGGUACUGUAAGAAUAAGCACCGGCUAACUACGUGCCAGCAGCCGCGGUAAUACGUAGGGUGCAAGCGUUAAUCGGAAUUACUGGGCGUAAAGCGUGCGUAGGCGGUUAUAUAAGACAGAUGUGAAAUCCCCGGGCUCAACCUGGGAACUGCAUUUGUGACUGUAUAGCUAGAGUACGGUAGAGGGGGAUGGAAUUCCGCGUGUAGCAGUGAAAUGCGUAGAUAUGCGGAGGAACACCGAUGGCGAAGGCAAUCCCCUGGACCUGUACUGACGCUCAUGCACGAAAGCGUGGGGAGCAAACAGGAUUAGAUACCCUGGUAGUCCACGCCCUAAACGAU
This 750-nucleotide ribosomal RNA is filed under the name uncultured bacterium. RNAcentral describes it as "bacterial SSU rRNA". It matches the Rfam family "Bacterial small subunit ribosomal RNA", at positions 61 to 810 of the family's 1533-position model. The record is from RNAcentral.